RNAcentral lists this ribosomal RNA (253 nucleotides) under uncultured bacterium. Its description in RNAcentral is "partial 16S ribosomal RNA". It matches the Rfam family "Bacterial small subunit ribosomal RNA", at positions 524 to 776 of the family's 1533-position model. The record is from RNAcentral.
UACGUAGGGGGCAAGCGUUGUCCGGAAUUACUGGGCGUAAAGGGCGCGUAGGCGGCCCGCCAAGUCCCGUGUGAAAGCCCCCGGCUCAACCGGGGAACGGCGCGGGAAACUAGCAGGCUUGAGUUCGGGAGAGGGAAGCGGAAUUCCGGGUGUAGCGGUGAAAUGCGCAGAUAUCCGGAGGAACACCGGUGGCGAAGGCGGCUUCCUGGACCGACACUGACGCUGAGGCGCGAAAGCUAGGGGAGCAAACGGG